This 476-nucleotide ribosomal RNA is filed under the name uncultured bacterium. RNAcentral's name for it is "partial 16S ribosomal RNA". It matches the Rfam family "Bacterial small subunit ribosomal RNA", at positions 28 to 523 of the family's 1533-position model. The record is from RNAcentral.
GAUGAACGCUGGCGGCGUGCUUAACACAUGCAAGUCGAGCGAGUGAGUUCUUCGGAACGAUCUAGCGGCGGACGGGUGAGUAACACGUGGGCAACCUGCCUCAUAGAGGGGAAUAGCCUCCCGAAAGGGAGAUUAAUACCGCAUAAAAUUAUCGAGUGGCAUCACACGAUAAUCAAAGGAGUAAUCCGCUAUGAGAUGGGCCCGCGGCGCAUUAGCUAGUUGGUGAGGUAACGGCUCACCAAGGCGACGAUGCAUAGCCGACCUGAGAGGGUGAUCGGCCACAUUGGGACUGAGACACGGCCCAGACUCCUACGGGAGGCAGCAGUGGGGAAUAUUGCACAAUGGGGGAAACCCUGAUGCAGCAACGCCGCGUGAGUGAUGAAGGUCUUCGGAUUGUAAAGCUCUGUCUUUGGGGACGAUAAUGACGGUACCCAAGGAGGAAGCCACAGCUAACUACGUGCCAGCCGCCGCAGUAA